UGAUCUCAUGAAUGGAAUGCUACUACUUAGAUGCGAGAACCAGUGACACCAUAUGCUCAUAUCAAUUUCAAACUUCACAUAUUGAAACGCAUGACACUCAAGAUGAAGUUAAGGGUUGUAACGGGGCUUAGGGUGAUGGCUAACAAAUGAAGGAUAAGGAUAACAAUCGUUCUUAAAGCAAUAACAAGUCAAGUAAUGAAAUUGAAACUUAGAAUUCACUUAGAUUGCAGAAAUCAGCUUUUAGACACGAAGGGAAAAUUCAAGCAAUAUUUAGGGCUGAAUUCUAUGUUUUGGACCUUUCUUCAACAAGCAGCACUUUAAAACUCUUUUUCGCAUAUUUUUCAACUCCUUUUUUUUUUUUUUUCAACUCUUCUUUUCUUUUCAGCAAGCAUAAUAACUCACACUUCCCCCACACUUGUUUUCUGCCAUACAUUAAUCAAAAGAAAUUCAAUUUGAAU
RNAcentral lists this long non-coding RNA (458 nucleotides) under Malus domestica (apple). Its description in RNAcentral is "long non-coding RNA (MDOM_LNC017924)". The record is from RNAcentral. Lineage: Eukaryota; Viridiplantae; Streptophyta; Magnoliopsida; Rosales; Rosaceae.